Long non-coding RNA from Myotis daubentonii (Daubenton's bat), 8502 nucleotides. RefSeq lists it as uncharacterized. The transcript is spliced from 2 exons. The record is from RefSeq and is a predicted model, not a curated record. NCBI's taxonomy places the organism in Eukaryota, Metazoa, Chordata, Mammalia, Chiroptera, Vespertilionidae.
GGCUCUGCUCCUUCCGCGCUAGGAGCAGCCUGUGGCUGAAUGAGGGGCCAGCUGAGCGGUGGCCCUGGGAGCCCUGCCCCCACCAGGCCUUGAACUCCAUGAAGACUCAGCCCGUCUCACUCAUCUCAGUGCCCACCGCAUGCUAGGUGCAUGCUGUACAGGUCAGAGCAGGGGGUCCGCAAACAGGAUUCGUUAAGGGCCAAACUUUAAAUAGUUUAGGCUUUGAGGCCCACGGGGUCUCUGUUGCAACUCGUCCGCUCUGCUGUUGUGGCGUGAAAGCAGCCAUAGAUAAUACAUCAAUGAGUACCCUUGUGUUUUCAUAAAACUUUAUAAAAACAGGCGGAGGGCCUGGUUUGGGCCCACAGUUUGCUGACUCCUUGGGAGAAGGAUAAAUGUGUCCUUAACAAUAGACUCUUUUCUUCCCCAUAUGUUAGUCCUGCUGUCUGUCUGCCUCCCCCCGGCCCCCUCAGUGCAGGUAGAUGAUGCAGCCUGAGCGCUCACCCCCGGCCCAGGCUCCUGGGCAGUCUGGAAAUGUGGGCCAGGGAAGGCGCUGGCCUCCCCGGCCUGGCUGGGCAGCGGGAGUGUGCGCUCGCGUGGACGGAUGCAUUCGGGCGCCCAUCCAGCCUUGCUGAGGGGCACUCACACCCCCACCCACGGAUGACUUUUCGGGGCUGAGCCCACCCCCAGGAAUACUGGCCGCCAGCACCAGGCCAGCAGGGCUAGAGAGUGAGGGUUUAAGGUGUUCUUAGCCAAAGAAUUUCUGGUGGAGAGAUUGUUUGUCGUAAAUUCAGGGGCUCUGAUGGAUGAGAUUCAGGUCUCCAGGCUUUGUUCACCCCGGGUCUGAUCGGCAGCGAGUCCAAGAAAGCUUUCGGCUUCAGCCGAGCCCUCUAGCUCCCACCUCCGUGGUGGGCUGGCCUAGGGCGGGACCCUGCAGGGCCCUGGCCCCUAAGCUGAGUGCCGGGAGUGCCAGCAUCCCUCUGCCCAGCCCCACCCAGCUCUCUGUGCCAGGGACGUUGGCCCCUAACUGGAAGCGGACCUGGCUCUUCAGGCCCUGGGGCCAGCCCCUCACCGCCAGCCCCAGCCGCAGGCCUGGUAUGUGCCCAGCGGCUUCUCUGUCGGAGGGAUUCCCCAAGUUAUGCUGGGACUACUGCCCUCUGCCCGACCACCUCCCUCCCCAGGCAGGGUGGGAAUGGCUCAUAGUUUCCUUUCUAGAGCAAAUUCCCAAUCAGGGUGCUAUCUGAACUGUGUUCCGAGUGGAGCCUGCUCACCCUGCAGCCGCCCCUGGGAAUCCUGAGAGCUUUUCAGCCCCCAGCGGCAGGGGCAGCUCCUCGCUCAUUGAUGUGCUCGGCAGCAGCUGGGGAGAGCUAGGGGCUCCGGGAAGGCCCGAGGAGCUGGGCUGCGGACUGGUGUGUUUGGCGAUGGGUUAACUGUUGUCAGAGCCAAGCCCAGAUGGUCACCUUUAUCCGCUCAGCGCGGCAUGGGGAGGGGAGAGCCUCUGACCAGAGCCUGGAACAGCCCUCCUGACCUCACCUUGUUCCUGAGCACCUAGGCCAGACCCUGCCUGUACCACGGCCAUACGGUGGCCCAGAGCAGUGGUUCUCAAACUCGAGGUUCCACUUGAGGAACCUGUUAGGACUGCAGACUCCCUAGCCCCCAGCCAACCUCGGGCUCCAGAAUCGGCAUUGUUAAUAAGUGUGUGUGAUACAGGGGGUCCCAGGACCAUGCUGCCUGCGGGCUGAUAGGGAAAGCAGUGUGAGGAUGAGGGGGGGGGGGGGGCGGAAGGGGCCCAGAAAAGCACCCAGAAGAGGUGAGUAAAUCUUGAAGAAGAAAGCAGAGGAUGGUCUUGAUAGCUUACCCAAUCAAAUGCUUCGUACCAGGCACGCUCUCAGCCUCUGAUGGGAAUGGACUCAUUUAAUCCUCCAACAACCCCACUGAUCGCAGAAAGGACCAGACUGAAGCCCAGAGGGGUGGGGCACUUGCCCAGGGUUCUGUGGCUGGUACAUGGUGAACCGGGUCUCACCCUCUGACUCCAUCCCACUGCACUGGGGCCAGGGCACCAGCUCACACAGAGGCUGUGCAGACCCGGGGCUGUGGAGUAGGCAAAGCAUGAUGGGGUGUUGCUGCUGAAUGGCUCAGAUCCUAGUGUGUGUGGACAGCUUGGGGUUUGCUGGUGGUGUGUAUCGCCGUGACCUUGGUUAGGGCAGGAACCUUUGAGUGAGGUGACAGUUGCCGUGAUGUCGUUUUGAGAGGGCUGAGGCCGUGGCUGGGGUUCCCAGCGUGUUUCCUCGCAGUCUGAACACGACAGGACCUGGGGUGUGGAGUGAAGGUGCAGGGCCGUGCUCAGGGAGCAGCCAGGGGGAAGAAUUCUCCAUGGCCAGAGCCCUGCCCAGCCCUUGGGGUCUGAUGGGGAAGGGGGAAGAUGCUGGGAGAGGGAAUCCGCUCUCGUUAAGGAGCCAGCUAAGAGCUUUGAAUCCUUCUUCCCUUUAAUUCUCAGAUCCCCUGCAGCCUGGGCUGAUCUAGUCCUACUUCCAGGGAUGAAGGCCGAGAGAAGGCUGAUAGCAGAUAGAGGCCGGGUCAGUCCUUCGGGGAUUGUGCUUUUCACCACAGCGGGGGCCGCCAUGUUCUGAGUGGCCUCGGGUCCUGCCACACAGCUGGACCAAUGACCAGGCCCCAAGGGUAUGGUGCCAGUCUGGUUGGGGAGGCUCCUGGCAGUCAGCUGGGCAGACUCCAGCCCAACCCGGGCUCUGGGUAGAAUGGCCUGGCUUCAGGGGACUAGUUACCUGAGUGGUUGCGUUCCUUGUGGUGGAGUUCAGAGGAGUCAGCGUCCUGGGUUCUGUGGACUGGCCUCCUGUCGGGGGCCCUGAUGCUGGGAAUUGAGCGUCUGCUGCCCGGAGGACCUGGGGGCAGAGGGGAGCACGGAUUAGAGGAGGACCCUAGAUCAGGCGUGGAUUCCGGAAGCCCUUUCAGCCUCUCAUAGGCAGCACAAUCGGUCACAGCCCCUUCCCUGUCUUGUUGGCCACUCUGACCAUCCCCUCACCGUACCCCAGUGUCUUCCAGCCUGCGCCUCCCAGCUCAUUGAUUUGAACGUGGGGACCCACGGAAGUCUUGGCUCAGCAUAGGCUGUUUUGGUGGAGGAGGGGGAAUGUCUGACUCCCGGCUCCGGCCCCUGGGAAGCUGUUGCCUUCUGCAGAGGGAGGGCUGUGCUGUUUCCCAGUCUUGCAGCCUCUUGCCUCUCUCCGGGGACAGAGGGUCCGUGACUGUAAGCUUUUCAGGAACAGUGGAUGUGACAGAGCUGAAAUGCUCUCACUUCCUCUUAUGCUUUUUCUUUGAAAGGGGAGAGACAGUAGUGGCCUCCUGGGCCCAUUUUACAGACAGGGUAACUGAGGCCACGGCUGCUGGCGGGAAGCUGAGCCAGGGCCGGUCCCUCUCAGAAUCUUGUGUCUUUAAGCUCUUGUUUGAAGAGGGUUUAGGGCAGGGGUGGGCAAACUUUUUGACUCGAGGGCCACAAUGGGUUCUUAAACUGGACCGGAGGGCCGGAACAAAAGCAUGGAUGGAGUGUUUGUGUGAACUAAUAUAAAUUCAAAGUAAACAUCAUUACAUAAAAGGGUACGGUCUUUUUUUUUUUUUUUAGUUUUAUUCAUUUCAAACGGGCCGGAUCCGGCCCGCGGGCCGUAGUUUGCCCACGGCUGGUUUAGGGAGAGGAGCAGCUGGUGUCUGGCUGGGGUUGGUCUCGGGGCACGUCCCAGGGAUCUCUCCUACCUGAACCAGGCCUGGCGCCUGCGGAAGUUAAUGCCGGCUCUUCUGGCUGUGCGUCUGCAUCAGGCCCGGGACUGUCAUUUAGGAGGCGGGUCUCUGCAGGGGAAGACGGGGCCUGGCAACCCUUCUCCUGGUCGCACCGCAUCCUCUGGUCUUGGGCUGCCCUUGUCCACUUGCGAUUCCGCCAAGACUGUAGUCCACGGCUGCCUGUGGGCAGAAGGCACCGGGUUCUGACUUGUCUGGGUGGAGCAAAGACGAGUCCUUCCUGGGCGUGCCCUGGGGCAGUGAGGCCAGCCACUGGCCAGACCAAGCACUGGGGAAAGUUGUGCCACUGUGGAGACCCGCGGCCCCCUACCCAGCAGAGCGUCCCCUGAGUGGUGGGGAGGCGGGCCAGGGUCACGUGAGGGGACACCAUCUUCACGCACCUGCCGGCCAGUCGACUGCGGACUCACCUGGAGUUGUCAAGGACAGCAAGAAAAAUAAGGGACUUUCAGGGGCAGCUGUGUUUUCUGACUCAAGUCAUAAUGCCCCUAAAAAUCCUUAUUGCUCUUGCAGUGGGCAUCGGGCAGUGGCUGGCAACCCACCCCUCACCCACCUGGCCGCUGAGGGAUGGGAAGGGCUUCCAGGGGUCCAAUUGAGACUUGCUGAUUGUUAAAACGCGUUCGUUGGGCCGAUGCAUUGCCUGGCAUGUGUGUUGACCAUUGUUCGGUGGGGGAUUGGGCAUCCAGCUGUCCUGCAUGGAUUGGAGAGUCUCCUGGGUUUGUGCGGGUGAAGGUUCAGAAGGGCCCAGCUGCACGUGCAGGGCACGAGGAAGGGCGGCCUUGGGGCCAGGUAGGUCGAGGGCCACAGUGUUGGGCUGGCUGGGUGCCCCCUGGGCAGGAACUGGCACUGUGUCUUAACACAGAAAGAGCCUCAGUUCCCUCCCUCAGACCCCGUGAGCUGGCCAGUUUGCAAACACGCCUGCAGGGGGUUCAAGCCUCCCCUCCCCUCUCCCUAUUUCACUUCCUGAAUCUCCUCCAUUCUCAGUAGGUGCCCCCAACCCCACCUCUUCUGUCCCCACCCCACAGCUAUUUCGGUUAAGCCAAGGCCUUGAGUGGGGAUUGUUAAGCAGCCAAAAUAUCCAUUUGUGACAUGCGCACCCCCCCUCCCUUAACCCAGGAACACCAGUCCACAAUCAUGUCACCCACCCACCCUGGCUGCCCUGGCUGGGUUGGUUGGGUGUGGUCCCAUGCACCAAAAAGUCCCUGGUUCGAUUCCCGGUGAGGGCACAUACCUAGGUUGCAGGUUCAGUUCCUGGUCUGGAUGCAUACGGGAAGCAGCUAAUCAAUGUUUCUCUAAAAUCAAUAAAAAACAUUUUUUUUUAAAGUCACCAAAUCCCACAGCAACAGAAUCUUCCUGUCUAGCUGAGCCCUGGGCUGCCCGUGGAUGGACAGACGAGGCAGUGAACAGGCAACAAGCCCCAUCUCAUGUCCCGUUGACCUACCGGUCAGCAGGGGCGAGUCACCCUCCAGGUAUUUCUCAGGUUCCCUCCCAGGUGCCGACUUGAAAGCCCUCGUCACUCAAGAAGACCGUAUUGGAACCUUGACCGCCAUGAUCCUCAUUCCUGGCCAGCCAGGCCCCUUGCUGCCCGGGCCCCGAUCGUCUGAGCCUGCCUCCACACCAGCUCUCCCAGACAGUUUCUAAGGAGCUGGAUUUGCACCGGAUCCUCCUCAUUUUACUGCCCCAGGGGAGGGGCAGCUCCAAGAUGGUCCUCAGCUGAUGCUGUUAAGCAGCCAGAGCACUCUCCGCUAUCUGCCCACAAGCUAGAGGUAGGAGAAGGCUGCUCCAGCUGUGCCCCCAGAGGCGGAUCAGGCGAUGUGACCAUUUGCAGUUGGCAGACUUUCACUUCCUGCCUUUUCUCGGCUGCUCGGAGUUGUCCUUUGAUCCUCAUUUUACAGAAGGAAGACGGAGGCCAAGGAGAUCAGGAGACUUGCCCGAGGACACACAGCUAGGAUGUGGCAGAGGUGGGGUUGAGGUCGGCGGCUCCUGACUCCCAAGGUCAGUGCUCUGUCAGUAAUUGUUAUUUGUAUUUAGCUUACAUAGUUAUAACAAGCAUAUCAAUGCUUACUAGCCCAUAGGUUACUGUGAUGAUGAAAUACUGGAGGUGGGUGGGUGCCACUAUCUCCUGGAGGGUGUGUCUGCCUCACAGGGAGACUGGGGGGUUGUCCCUCAGUUUCCCCAGUGCUGCGUGCACUGGCCAGCCUGGACCCGCAGCCCGCCCCACUCAGCCCGCUGCACUGCCCCAUGUUCAGAGCAUGCAGGGGGCAUGAGGCCCAAUGGUUUCCUGCUCGCUGCCUGGACAGAGGCGUCUCAGGAGCACAGCCUGCGUGGGGCUUGCUCCUCCGGGCCCUGCUCCAAGCUGGUGGCCCUUAAGGAUCAGGACCCCUGCUGGGGUCCAUAGGCCUACUGUGCCUGCCCCCCUCUUUCCUACAGAGCUGGACUCCGAGGACCUGCGGGUCAGCUGGGCAGGAUGCCAGUGCAGAGAACUAUCGGGCAGGCUCAUUGUCAGCUCCAGGAAGCGGUCGGCUGUGCCCGGGCAGGGCUGCAGGCCGGAGGGCCAGCCUGCCUCGGACAUGGCGGGUGGAGACAGGAGGUGGGAGCCCAGAACACCACUUUCCCAGGCUCCGGGCCAGGCCCACGGGCUUCCUUUGGCCACACCUUCCCUCGCUGGGCCUGGGCGCGCUCCUUCCUCCGUCUGGCUCUCGCCCUGCUCCCCGCCCAGCUCUUUGCGGCAGAGUGCACACUCUUGGCAACGACACCCAUUUAACCUGCUUCCCAGAAAGCCGGAUGGCCAGGCAGGCGUGCUCAGCCAGCCCCGUGAUGGAAAACAGGGCGGUGGGCCCCCCUCAGGCGUCUCUUGCCCGUAUUCCUUGGGGGCUGGAUUGGGAGAGAGUUCUGCACCGCCUUGGCUUUCCUGGGUCAGGAAUAAUCUCAGCUCAGUUAGCAGCCUGGAGCAAUCAGGCUGAGCCACGAGCUUGGAGCUCCUGGAAUUGGGGCAGGGCAGGGAGACAAGCCUUUGCCAGGAGUCUGAUCCAGGGCAGCCACUUAGCAGGGGCCCUGGGUAAAGCCCCAUCUCUUUGAGCCUGUUGCCUCAUUGGGCACAAUAGUGCCCGUAGGAAGGCGCUACAUUAUAGGCGUAUUCUGACUGUAGAUAUGAAGUUGUCGCUCCCUCUCCCUCCCCUUCACCCGAGAACUCUGGGUGGGGUCUGGCAUGGAGAAGAUGCUCACUUAACGCUAGGUGCGCUGCUCAGGAAGUGAGGGUUGAGUGUCAGCGUGCUGGGUGGUACCUUAUUGUUCUUGAUCUCUGAAGGGACCCCCUUUUGUCAGCUUUCUCUUUGGCCUUCCUGCCCAGACCCUGUUAGGAUGGUGGUUCUAAAUUAGAGGGUUCUAAGCUAGAGCCCUCACCCCUUUGCCCUGCAUUCUGGCCCACAGAGGGAUCCUGUACCUCCUCAAGUUCAUCCUACAAGUCCGGAUGCUCAGUUCCAAAGCAUUCCCCCUGGGCCUGGGCCAGAGUAGCUGCUACAAAGCUCCUCCCACCCGCCCACCUCCUCGGGGUGCAGACAGCCCAGCACAGGUGGGAAGGGCUUUCUGGUGGGGAAGAGGUUAGCACUUGAUUUCUGUCUUGACUCUUGUCUCUAACAGGCAGAGCCCGUGACAUCACAGAAAAGCAGCGUUGGAGGACCUUGAAUGAGUCUGGGGCCUGUCCCCACCAAGUACCCCUGGUGUUCAGGUGGGGCCAGUCCCACCCCCUGGCUUGAGAGGCAGGCACGUGUCCCAGGAUGGGCGCUGAGACUUCCCCUCGGGACUUUUGCAGCAACUAUGAGGAAAGAGGCAUUCGGUUUUUGUGGGAGUUGCCAAGCAUGGAACUGCUGGUGGCCAUCCUGUUCUCUGCUUGAGGAUAAAGCCAACAAGGAGCAAAGAGAAGGCGAGUGUAUUCUAUCCAGACAUCAGUAAGCCCCUGGAUCAAGCCAUGCCUGAAGCCAACUGCACCCCUGGACUAACCUGAUUAUAUGAGCCAAUGCCGUUUUCUCCGAACACUGUCUGGAGUUGGGUUUCUAGCAUAGAAAGGGUCCUAAGAACGGAAAUGUUUUUCUUUGAUCUCAUUUUUAGAAAGUCAACAUUGAGGCAUACUUUACAUGCGAUAGAUUUCACCCAUGUUAAGUGUCCAAUUCAUAAGUAGUUACAGUUACAGCCUUGUAACUAUCACCAGCAUUCAAGUUCCCUCCUUCCCCUUUAUGGCCCAUUUUCCCAACUCCAGAGAACCACCAAUCUACCUAUCUUCUAAAGGUUCAUUUUGCCUUUUCUAGAAUUCCAUAUAAAUAUCACAUAGUGUGUUCUCUCCUGUGCCUGGCUUCUUUUAGUCAACAUGUUUUGGAGAUUUAUUCAUGUUGUUGCGUGUACCAAUAGUUCAUUCCUUUUUGUUGCCAAGUACAGUGGGGCCUUGACUUACGAGUUUAAUUCGUUCCGAGACCGAGCUCGUUAAGGAGCUCGUUAACUCAAAUUACUCUAUCAGCUCAAUGCAAAAAAUUGGCUGAGAGACAGCUGGUAUCUCAAAAAACUCGUUAGUCGGGACACUCGUAAGUCAAGGCCCCACUGUAGUGUUCUAGUGUAUGGACAUACCACAGUUUGUUUAUCCAUUUAUGGGAUGAUGACCAUUUGGACUAUUUCCAGAUUUUGGUUAUUGUGAAUAAAACUGUUAUAACAGUC